Molecule: ribosomal RNA, 1008 nt
Filed under: Triticum aestivum (bread wheat)
Lineage: Eukaryota; Viridiplantae; Streptophyta; Magnoliopsida; Poales; Poaceae
Description: partial small subunit ribosomal RNA
Source: RNAcentral
AUGAGCAGUCCGGCAGAUCCGCUUGACCACGAACCCACCGCCAUCGAAUCCAUAUCGACAGAAGAAAAAAGAGCUGACCAGUGCGCCGCGGGGAUAGCUCAAAUGUCCGUCAAAGAGGCGCGGCCACUGUUGACGGUAGCUGAAGCAGACGAGCUAGAUUCUUCUAAUGGCAGCACAGAGCAGCACGUCUCAACAGUAGUAGACGGAGAUCCUGGAUCAAAAUCAAGGACUCCAAAUGUGAUUGAUGUCGAAACGGAAAAGAGCGGCUGGGUUCGACGUCACAGACACAGCGCAAUGCCUGACGAACGAGCCGCUAGUGCAGAAAGGAUUAGUGCACUGGAAUUAGCAUUUAGAGGAUUCGCUGAGAGGAAAGGAGAUGAAGUCGUAGUGCCUUCUAUGGGGUUGACAUUUAAUUCGCUAGGAGAGGCCUACGACUACUACAACCUGUAUUCAUGGGAAUGCGGUUUCAACAUCAGGUACGGGAAGAGUCGCACAAAUGUCAAAGGUGCUAAAAGCAUGCAAGAGCUGCUUUGCAACUGCGGGGGGAAACCAAAGAAGGUGAACUCUACCUCUUCCAGAACAGAGUGUCCAGCGAUGAUUAGAUUGCUGAGGACUGAAGAUGAUGGCCGGUACAUAUGUGAGUACAAAGUCUCUCACAACCAUGAGAUGUUACACACAUGCGCCCAGAAACUCCACUUCCCUUCCCACCGGCACAUAGACAAAUACACAAGAGAGCUGGUAUCUCAACUACGUCAGAAUAAUGUCAACCUCAGCAAAGUUUACAGCAUAAUAGGGACAUUUUUUGGUCGCAUAGAGAAUGUUCCUUUCACCAAAAGAUGCAUGAGGACCUUGUGCGCGAAACUAGGCAGAGACCAAGCAGAUGAAGAUGUUAAGAAGACAAUGGAUUAUUUUGCUGAGCUGAAGCAGAGUGACCCUGAAUUCACUUAUACAGUUCGUGUAGAAGGUGAGAGUAGAGUUAGAACAGUGAGAGUAGAGUUAGAACACUGA